Molecule: ribosomal RNA, 433 nt
Filed under: uncultured bacterium
Lineage: Bacteria
Description: partial 16S ribosomal RNA
Rfam family: Bacterial small subunit ribosomal RNA
Source: RNAcentral
AACGAACGCUGGCGGCAUGCCUAACACAUGCAAGUCGAACGAGACCUUCGGGUCUAGUGGCUCACGGGUGCGUAACGCGUGGGAAGCUGCCCAUAGGUUCGGAAUAACUCCCCGAAAGGGGUGCUAAUACCGGAUAAUGUCUACGGACCAAAGAUUUAUCGACUUUGGAUGGGCCCGCGUGGGAUUAGCUAGUUGGUAUGGUAAAAGCCUACCAAGGCGACGAUCCAUAGCUGGUCUGAGAGGAUGAUCAGCCACACUGGGACUGAGACGCGGCCCAGACUCCUACGGGAGGCAGCAGUGGGGAAUAUUGGACAGUGGGCGGAAGGCUGAUCCAGCUAGGCCGCGUGAGUGAUGAAGUCCGUAGAGUUGUAAAGCUCUUUUACCCGGGAUGAUAAUGACAGUACCGGAAGAAUAAGCUCCGGCUAACUCCGUG